This 373-nucleotide ribosomal RNA is filed under the name uncultured organism. Its description in RNAcentral is "partial 16S ribosomal RNA". It matches the Rfam family "Bacterial small subunit ribosomal RNA", at positions 527 to 896 of the family's 1533-position model. The record is from RNAcentral.
GUAGGUGGCAAGCGUUGUCCGGAAUUAUUGGGCGUAAAGCGCGCGCAGGCGGUCCUUUAAGUCUGAUGUGAAAGCCCACGGCUCAACCGUGGAGGGUCAUUGGAAACUGGGGGACUUGAGUACAGAAGAGGAAAGCGGAAUUCCAAGUGUAGCGGUGGAAUGCGUAGAGAUUUGGAGGAACACCAGUGGCGAAGGCGGCUUUCUGGUCUGUAACUGACGCUGAGGCGCGAAAGCGUGGGGAGCAAACAGGAUUAGAUACCCUGGUAGUCCACGCCGUAAACGAUGAGUGCUAAGUGUUAGGGGGUUUCCCGCCCCCUUAGUGCUGCAGCUAACGCAUUAAGCACUCCGCCUGGGGAGUACGGCCGCAAGGCUG